GCAGUAUCAAAUUCAUACCUUCCUCAAAGCCUGAAUCCACCUUGUAGAUUUAAGUAAAAAGAUAGUGAAUUACUAAAUAUAUAUAAUUCGGGAAAGAUCCAUAUUAUAAAAGAAAAACAUUCUAAACUUCUUUGUUGCCCGCAGUAUGAACUCCUCCCCACAUUCAGCACUUUAUCCUCUCUAUAUACGCCUCUGAAACAUCUUUCUAAUUUAGCUGGAAUUUAGUAAAAGAAUUAGAGCUCGUGAUUAUUUGAAUUCGGAAGGAAAAAAAGCCAAAAAAACUUCAAAUUAAUCCGCCAUUAAUACCAGCAUG
RNAcentral lists this small RNA (313 nucleotides) under Cryptosporidium hominis. The record is from RNAcentral. Lineage: Eukaryota; Apicomplexa; Conoidasida; Eucoccidiorida; Cryptosporidiidae.